UAGGGAAUCUUGCGCAAUGGGCGAAAGCCUGACGCAGCGACACCGUGUGAAGGAUGAAGAUCUUCGGAUUGUAAACUUCUGUCAAUUGGGGAAGAAGGCACUAAAGUUAAUAGCUGAUAGGCUGACGGUACCCAAUAAGGAAGUCUCGGCUCACUCCGUG
This 160-nucleotide ribosomal RNA is filed under the name uncultured bacterium. RNAcentral describes it as "partial 16S ribosomal RNA". It matches the Rfam family "Bacterial small subunit ribosomal RNA", at positions 355 to 507 of the family's 1533-position model. The record is from RNAcentral.